GAGUAACACGUGGGUAACCUACCUAUAAGACUGGGAUAACUCCGGGAAACCGGGGCUAAUACCGGAUAAUACAUGAAACCGCAUGGUUUCAUGAUGAAAGACGGUUUUGCUGUCACUUAUAGAUGGACCCGCGGCGUAUUAGCUAGUUGGUAAGGUAACGGCUUACCAAGGCAACGAUACGUAGCCGACCUGAGAGGGUGAUCGGCCACACUGGAACUGAGACACGGUCCAGACUCCUACGGGAGGCAGCAGUAGGGAAUCUUCCGCAAUGGGCGAAAGCCUGACGGAGCAACGCCGCGUGAGUGAUGAAGGUCUUCGGAUCGUAAAACUCUGUUAUUAGGGAAGAACAAGGAUGUAAGUAACUAUGCAUCCCUUGACGGUACCUAAUCAGAAAGCCACGGCUAACUACGUGCCAGCAGCCGCGGUAAUACGUAGGUGGCAAGCGUUAUCCGGAAUUAUUGGGCGUAAAGCGCGCGUAGGCGGUUUUUUAAGUCUGAUGUGAAAGCCCACGGCUCAACCGUGGAGGGUCAUUGGAAACUGGAAAACUUGAGUGCAGAAGAGGAAAGUGGAAUUCCAUGUGUAGCGGUGAAAUGCGCAGAGAUAUGGAGGAACACCAGUGGCGAAGGCGACUUUCUGGUCUGCAACUGACGCUGAUGUGCGAAAGCGUGGGGAUCAAACAGGAUUAGAUACCCUGGUAGUCCACGCCGUAAACGAUGAGUGCUAAGUGUUAGGGGGUUUCCGCCCCUUAGUGCUGCAGCUAACGCAUUAAGCACUCCGCCUGGGGAGUACGGCCGCAAGGCUGAAACUCAAAGGAAUUGACGGGGACCCGCACAAGCGGUGGAGCAUGUGGUUUAAUUCGAAGCAACGCGAAGAACCUUACCAAAUCUUGACAUCCUUUGACAACUCUAGAGAUAGAGCCUUCCCCUUCGGGGGACAAAGUGACAGGUGGUGCAUGGUUGUCGUCAGCUCGUGUCGUGAGAUGUUGGGUUAAGUCCCGCAACGAGCGCAACCCUUAAGCUUAGUUGCCAGCAUUAAGUUGGGCACUCUAAGUUGACUGCCGGUGACAAACCGGAGGAAGGUGGGGAUGACGUCAAAUCAUCAUGCCCCUUAUGAUUUGGGCUACACACGUGCUACAAUGGACGGUACAAAGGGCAGCGAACCCGCGAGGUCAAGCAAAUCCCAUAAAGCCGUUCUCAGUUCGGAUUGUAGUCUGCAACUCGACUACAUGAAGCUGGAAUCGCUAGUAAUCGUAGAUCAGCAUGCUACGGUGAAUACGUUCCCGGGUCUUGUACACACCGCCCGUCACACCACGAGAGUUUGUAACACCCGAAGCCGGUGGAGUAACCUUUUAGGAACUAGCCGUCGAAGGUGGGACAAAUGAUUGGGGUGAAGUCGUAACAAGGUAGCCGUAUCGGAAGGUGCGGCUGGAUCACCUCCUUUCUAAGGA
RNAcentral lists this ribosomal RNA (1447 nucleotides) under Staphylococcus sp. HMSC057C08. Its description in RNAcentral is "bacterial SSU rRNA". It matches the Rfam family "Bacterial small subunit ribosomal RNA". The record is from RNAcentral. Lineage: Bacteria; Bacillati; Bacillota; Bacilli; Caryophanales; Staphylococcaceae.